AAUUACUGCAGUUAAAUGACACCUGCCAUGGAUUCCCCUUCAUGGAUUAGCUUGCUCAUGUGAAAGCAGCAUUAACCUGGCCUAAGUGGCAGUUUCUGAGUGGGUGGACACUGACGGCCCAUCCCUGACACUUCGUUCCCAGCAGCCCGGUCAGCAGAUCAGUGCAAGAGAGCAACGGCUGAAGGGUACAAAAAUUUCAAAUUAAGUUUAAGGUCACUCAGAAAACAGCCAUCUCUGGGAUCAAUGGUCCCAGUAAACAGCAGUUCUGUUGAUGUCAGAGGGUAUUGAGCUAACAGGUAUGCAGAAGAGCACCUCUGAAAGCACAACAUGUCAAACCCUGAAGCACUUUGGCAGCAGAACAAUCAGUUGGGGUGUCACUUCUCUCAGCUAAGAACAGGAAACUGAAUCUACAAGCUUAGCAAAACUGGACGGUGGCAGAUUGCCUGGUCUCAUAAGUUUCAGUUCCUGCUGCGACAUUCAGAUGCAAUGGUCAAAAUUCAGUAUUUAACCACCACAGCCUGCCUGAGUAUUGCUGUUGACCAUUAGGCACACAAGGUAUGACCAUAUCUUGUGCACCAUGUCGCAAAGCUCACAUCAUCUCAAACUGGUGUCUUAAACAUGACAAUGAGUUCAUUGUACUCAAUAGAGCACUUUUGGGAUGCAGUGGAACGAGAGCUACGCAUCAUGGAUGUGCAGCUAACAAAUCCGCAGCAACUGCAUGGCGCUAUUUUUUUUUUCUUUUCAAUAUGGACCAACAUCUCUGAGUAAUGUUUCCAGCACCUUUGUUGAAGAAUUAAGGCAGUCCACUUCAGCAACAUGUACCUAAUAAAGUGGCUGGUGAGUGUAUGUAAAUGGAAAAAAAUCUGAUCUGUUAUUAAUCCUGUAACACCAAGUUUAUCAUAUUUGAUACCCAAAUUUUCAAGGGGUUUCAAGGCUUCUACAUCAGUGUGAUCUAGAAAAACGUUGGCCGUAGCAAAUUAAAACUCCUAUUUUUGUCAGAAGGUUCAAUAAACACGUUUUCUCCGAGGAAGCCUUGAAUGAAAAUGUAACUAUAUGAAGCAAUAGAAGCAAAUAUACCUACAACACCUUGUUGAACCUUUUGUGUACCUUUUUAACCAUGUCAUUCCCUCUGUGUUUUCAGAAAAACUGAGUUGUCUGAUGAUGUAAUGAAGAGAAGCUUUCAGUGGGCUGCCGCCAAACAAACAUGUUCAGCUUUAAUUAAAUGGUUGAACAGAGCGUGCUCAGUCUUACGGCUGGUCUGUUUCUACUCUUAUAUAUUUAUAUUUUCCUAUGUCUGUGCUCUUCUCUCUUCCACGCUGUUAUUUUUGAGUCUCCAGCUUUCUCCCCACAGCUCCUCAGCAUCUGCUGGACUAGAAUAAAUUCACUCUUUACUUAAGAAAUACUUCAUAUCCCAAGCGUGUGCAUCUGUUGUGUGUCAGCUGGCUGUGUUUGGGUUUUUAUUGAAAAAAACAAAACAAAAAACACGAGUCUGGGGUAAAUGGGCUUUUAUAGUAGAUAUCCAUGUUUUGAGCAGAAAUCUCAAACAUUAAUCACACUUGUCACCAAACUGGAGCAUUACAUUCGGAAUAUUUGGGAUUAUGAUCAUUUUAUUAUUACUAUUAUCAUCAUUUUACAAAUUGCAUGUUCUCCCUAUGGCUGCAUGGAUCACUUUAGACAAUCGAGCUCUCCACACAGUCCAAAGACAUGCAUGUUAGGUUAACUAGGGUUGGAUGAUGUUGAUCAUGUUAGCUCUGUGAUGAGUGGGCAGCCUGUCUAACGUAGACCUGUGUUCUCAGGUGGGAUUGGCUCAAGCCACCUGUGACCUUGAAUUUGAUAAGCAUGUAAGAAAAUGGAUGGAUUUACAUGAAAUAUACCAACAUGGAAAAAGUAAAACUGGAUGCAGAACGUUUAGCUUUCAGGCCCCGUCUGUAGAUUAGCCAUAAAAAUGUCCUUUUUGAUAAAGCAUCUAGUUUACAACCCUUAGCUCCACUGCUUAGGCUGCUGAGGGUUUCCCAUGAUGCACUCGUUUGCUCUCUGUGUGUUCACACGCCACUGUGCGCUUAAUUGUGUUUUUGUCUUGUCCUGUCUUACUAGCUUCACCCUCAACUGGUUGCAGCAGACGGCUGCUCCUCUCUGGGCCUGAUUCUGCUGGAGGUUUCUUCCAGUUAAAUGGGGUUUUUCCUUCCCACUGUUGCCAAGUGCUUGCUCUAAGAGGAUAGUUUGAUUUUCAGGGUUUUUUAGUGCUCUGAGGCAGCUGUUGUUGUAUAGUUUGGUGCUAUAUAAUGAACAGCUAUAUGAUGAAUAGCCAGCAUAAAUACCACACGCAGGU
This is a long non-coding RNA of Haplochromis burtoni (Burton's mouthbrooder), 2329 nucleotides long. RefSeq lists it as uncharacterized. The transcript has 3 exons. NCBI's taxonomy places the organism in Eukaryota, Metazoa, Chordata, Actinopteri, Cichliformes, Cichlidae. The record is from RefSeq and is a predicted model, not a curated record.